This 1439-nucleotide ribosomal RNA is filed under the name uncultured organism. RNAcentral describes it as "16S ribosomal RNA". It matches the Rfam family "Bacterial small subunit ribosomal RNA". The record is from RNAcentral.
CAGGCUUAACACAUGCAAGUCGAGGGGCAGCAUUUUAGUUUGCUUGCAAACUGAAGAUGGCGACCGGCGCACGGGUGAGUAACACGUAUCCAACCUGCCGAUAACUCCGGAAUAGCCUUUCGAAAGAAAGAUUAAUACCGGAUAGCAUACGAAUAUCGCAUGAUAUUUUUAUUAAAGAAUUUCGGUUAUCGAUGGGGAUGCGUUCCAUUAGUUUGUUGGCGGGGUAACGGCCCACCAAGACUACGAUGGAUAGGGGUUCUGAGAGGAAGGUCCCCCACAUUGGAACUGAGACACGGUCCAAACUCCUACGGGAGGCAGCAGUGAGGAAUAUUGGUCAAUGGGCGAGAGCCUGAACCAGCCAAGUAGCGUGAAGGAUGAAGGCUCUAUGGGUCGUAAACUUCUUUUAUAUGGGAAUAAAGUUUUCCACGUGUGGAAUUUUGUAUGUACCAUAUGAAUAAGGAUCGGCUAACUCCGUGCCAGCAGCCGCGGUAAUACGGAGGAUCCGAGCGUUAUCCGGAUUUAUUGGGUUUAAAGGGAGCGUAGGUGGAUUGUUAAGUCAGUUGUGAAGGUUUGCGGCUCAACCGUAAAAUUGCAGUUGAAACUGGCAGUCUUGAGUACAGUAGAGGUGGGCGGAAUUCGUGGUGUAGCGGUGAAAUGCUUAGAUAUCACGAAGAACUCCGAUUGCGAAGGCAGCUCACUAGACUGUCACUGACACUGAUGCUCGAAAGUGUGGGUAUCAAACAGGAUUAGAUACCCUGGUAGUCCACACAGUAAACGAUGAAUACUCGCUGUUUGCGAUAUACAGUAAGCGGUCAAGCGAAAGCAUUAAGUAUUCCAUCUGGGGAGUACGCCGGCAACGGUGAAACUCAAAGGAAUUGACGGGGGCCCGCACAAGCGGAGGAACAUGUGGUUUAAUUCGAUGAUACGCGAGGAACCUUACCCGGGCUUAAAUUGCAACAGAAUAUAUUGGAAACAGUAUAGCCGUAAGGCUGUUGUGAAGGUGCUGCAUGGUUGUCGUCAGCUCGUGCCGUGAGGUGUCGGCUUAAGUGCCAUAACGAGCGCAACCCUUAUCUUUAGUUACUAACAGGUUAUGCUGAGGACUUUAGAGAGACUGCCGUCGUAAGAUGUGAGGAAGGUGGGGAUGAUGUCAAAUCAGCACGGCCCUUACGUCCGGGGCUACACACGUGUUACAAUGGGGGGUACAGAAGGCGGCUACCUGGUGACAGGAUGCUAAUCCCAAAAACCUCUCUCAGUUCGGAUCGAAGUCUGCAACCCGACUUCGUGAAGCUGGAUUCGCUAGUAAUCGCGCAUCAGCCAUGGCGCGGUGAAUACGUUCCCGGGCCUUGUACACACCGCCCGUCAAGCCAUGAAAGCCGGGGGUACCUGAAGUACGUAACCGCAAGGAGCGUCCUAGGGUAAAACUGGUAAUUGGGGCUAAG